Molecule: small nuclear RNA, 19 nt
Filed under: Arabidopsis thaliana (thale cress)
Lineage: Eukaryota; Viridiplantae; Streptophyta; Magnoliopsida; Brassicales; Brassicaceae
Description: snRNA_04262
Source: RNAcentral
AAACACAACCAGACCCAGU